AUCCUUUAAUAUUCGUAGCAAUCAAGAAAGAAAUAACAUCAAAUAGAUGCAAUCUUUAUCAAUUCUAAUUAGGAUUUUCAAAAAUUUAACGCCCAAUAAAUAAUUAUAUUAACAAAAUAAAUUCGUUAGUCAAUUUAUCAAAUAAACUAUAUAUCAUGAAGACUGAAGAGAAAUGGUACGUUUCUGCUCUUUUAUUUUAUGAUCUUUAUGCGCUAUCAACUAAAUGAGUAAAAAAGAUA
This 239-nucleotide long non-coding RNA is filed under the name Capsicum annuum. Its description in RNAcentral is "long non-coding RNA (CANN_LNC008744)". Lineage: Eukaryota; Viridiplantae; Streptophyta; Magnoliopsida; Solanales; Solanaceae. The record is from RNAcentral.